GGUAAUUCUUAAUGAUGUUCUUGACUUAGGUUGAAGAAUCUGCAUGAAAGAAAAUGUUGAGUUGUAAAAGAUCUUAAUAAGUGAGAUAUUAUAGUACCUCAUCAGCAUAAUUAACAGAAUAAGUCCUUUUGAGUGUCAUGUCACUACUUAGAAGUCUCUGUUUGUGUAAAUGGAUACAUUUUGACCUGCCAUAGCUUUGCCCUGAUGGAAUGAAUAAAAGGAAAAAUACACACUUAUUGGUUCAUGCAAGUCUACUUCCUGGGAAAAUACACACUUAUUGGUUCACACGAGCGGCUUGGCUCAUUUAUGCCCCUACUUAUUUUGCUUGUCAUAAAUCCCCUUUUCAUUUGAGGGGGUCUUCUUGAUGGCAAUUAGCUGCAGUUUUCUCUUGGCUUAUUUUAUACGUAUUUUUUUCUGGUUGCCCUUUAUAUUAUAAUUUUUGAGAGCCCCUAUCAUUAUAAUGUGACUUGUGAAUUUUCCAAGAGCUCUGAAUUUUGUUUUCAUUCCAAAGCAAGAGGAC
RNAcentral lists this unclassified non-coding RNA (520 nucleotides) under Hevea brasiliensis (rubber tree). Lineage: Eukaryota; Viridiplantae; Streptophyta; Magnoliopsida; Malpighiales; Euphorbiaceae. The record is from RNAcentral.